This 553-nucleotide ribosomal RNA is filed under the name uncultured archaeon. RNAcentral's name for it is "bacterial SSU rRNA". It matches the Rfam family "Archaeal small subunit ribosomal RNA", at positions 326 to 879 of the family's 1478-position model. The record is from RNAcentral.
CGGGGUGCAGCAGGCGCGAAAACUUUACAAUGCCGGCAACGGCGAUAAGGGAACCUCGAGUGCCAGGUUACAAAUCUGGCUGUCGUGAUGCCUAAAAAGCAUUGCAUAGCAAGGGCCGGGCAAGACCGGUGCCAGCCGCCGCGGUAACACCGGCGGCUCGAGUGGUAACCGUUAUUAUUGGGUCUAAAGGGUCUGUAGCCGGCCGGGUAAGUCUCUUGGGAAAUCUGGCAGCUUAACUGUCAGGCUUUCAGGAGAUACUGCCUGGCUCGAGGCCGGGAGAGGUGAGAGGUACUUCAGGGGUAGGGGUGAAAUCUUGUAAUCCUUGAAGGACCACCAGUGGCGAAGGCGUCUCACCAGAACGGACCUGACGGCAAGGGACGAAAGCUAGGGGCACGAACCGGAUUAGAUACCCGGGUAGUCCUAGCCGUAAACGAUACUCGCUAGGUGUCGGCCACGGUGCGACCGUGGUCGGUGCCGUAGGGAAGUCGUGAAGCGAGCCACCUGGGAAGUACGGCCGCAAGGCUGAAACUUAAAGGAAUUGGCGGGGGAGCAC